Non-coding RNA from Macrostomum lignano, 46 nucleotides. The record is from Rfam. NCBI's taxonomy places the organism in Eukaryota, Metazoa, Platyhelminthes, Macrostomidae.
CAAACGGCCCUUUUAAGGGUCACCUUCCUAAAUUUUUAGCUAUUUA